Lolium perenne is the source of this 746-nucleotide long non-coding RNA. RefSeq lists it as uncharacterized. NCBI's taxonomy places the organism in Eukaryota, Viridiplantae, Streptophyta, Magnoliopsida, Poales, Poaceae. The record is from RefSeq and is a predicted model, not a curated record.
UUUUCAUCAGUUUUUUAAGUACCCCUACUUUUUCAGUGAAAUUACGGACAGUGCCACCGCUAAGUAAAAAAGCGAAGCGUUUAUUUCCAUGUGAGGCGACGGCGUGGAAGAUCUUCCCGGCCGGGCUGAGAAGGCGGCUUGGCGGACGGGCUGAGGAGACGGAGGUUGGCCAGUGGUCGCGUUUCCAUCGACGCAAAUCAGGUGGCGGCGCACGCCCACUAAACAGGCGCAGGCCCGCAGCGCACUAACCCCUUGCGCCUCCCGCUCCGGUCCCAGCCUCCCAGGCCACCCACGCGGGCCAUGGAAGAGAACGGCGAGGUUCGGCCGGAAUUUCGUCGGCUGCAGCAGGCAGUCACCAUGGGACUCCUCAUUCCCGGAAUGGAGCACCUCCACCAGACCACGACUGUUUGAUACCCCCAGCGAGGUGCAGACAGCAGGCAGCCAUGGCGACAGAGAUCCAGCCAACCAGGCAUCAACUUCGUGGAGGAGAGAUGCUUGUGCUAGGGCGACCGCCUUGAUCUGGAGAAGAUGCCAAAGGAAUUUUUGAUCCACUCAUGGAUCUACCGGUCGGAGUUGUUACCUAAUUUUGUGUGAUGCAGCAGUGUUCUUGUUAAUGAUUCAAUCGUAUUAGCCCCUUGUACAAUGCUUCACGGAUUUUGUUUGUGUGCGCGCAGCGUGAAUAUGCUGUUGUUCCUUUCACUGUAUGAACUGCAAGCUGAUUAUGCAGACAUGAGUUCUUGAAUCUC